Molecule: non-coding RNA, 238 nt
Organism: Paramuricea clavata
Lineage: Eukaryota; Metazoa; Cnidaria; Anthozoa; Malacalcyonacea; Plexauridae
Source: the annotation of a GenBank genome assembly
UUUAUAUUCUAAGCAGAAAUCGAGAGAAACAACUUUGUAUUAUAAUAAAACAAUAAAUCACACAGAAAGACAUUUUGAAAGCGUGCAUGUACAAAAACACUGCAACCGGUCGAAAACAGUUUUGUUUCUGAAUUUAAAUUGUGUGUGUGUGUGUGUGUGUGUGUGUGUGUGUGUGUGUGUGUGUGUGUGUGUGUGUGUGUGUGUGUGUGUGUGUGUGUGUGUGUGUGGGGGGGGGGGC